This 496-nucleotide ribosomal RNA is filed under the name uncultured bacterium. Its description in RNAcentral is "partial 16S ribosomal RNA". It matches the Rfam family "Bacterial small subunit ribosomal RNA", at positions 28 to 507 of the family's 1533-position model. The record is from RNAcentral.
GAUGAACGCUGGCGGCGUGCCUAAUACAUGCAAGUCGAGCGAACAGACGAGGAGCUUGCUCCUUUGACGUUAGCGGCGGACGGGUGAGUAACACGUAGGUAACCUACCUAUAAGACUGGGAUAACUUCGGGAAACCGGAGCUAAUACCGGAUAAUAUUUCGAACCGCAUGGUUCGAUAGUGAAAGAUGGCUUUGCUAUCACUUAUAGAUGGACCUGCGCCGUAUUAGCUAGUUGGUAAGGUAACGGCUUACCAAGGCAACGAUACGUAGCCGACCUGAGAGGGGGAUCGGCCCACUGGAACCUAGACACGGGCCAGAACCCCAAGGGGGGGCGGCAUGGGGAAAUUUUCCCAAUGGGGGGAAGGCCGAACGGGACAACCCGGGGGGGUGAAGAAGGUUCUUGGGUUGGAAAAACUUUUUUUUUGGGAAAAAAAAAAGGGGUAGGAAACUUGGCCCGUCUGACGGGACCCAAAGAAGAAGCCCCGGCUAAAUUAGGG